AAUAUACUUAGCCAGAAAACAAGAGAGAGAGAGAGAGAGUAAUGGCUUUGGAAAACUGUUUGCAACUAAGCACAGUGUGCACUACAAGAGUUGGUGCUGCACAAUGCUAUCAGCCAUUUUCUUCCAGGGAAAGGCUUAUUGUGCCAACCUGCAAUGGAUUGAAGAAAUCUGUUUUGAAAUUCUCUUCAUCUUCAUCUUUUGCUCCUUCCAAUAAAUCCCACAGAUCCCGCUUUAUUUGCAAGGCUCGUGAAGCUGUGAAUGAAGGUUAGCUGCACAGUCUCUGCUAUUAUUGUUGUUUGUUUCUGAUUAAUUCUUAAUUAUUUAUGUUGAAUGUCACUCUCCCUUGAUUUCGUUAGGAAUCUUGUAACUUCUAUAUGUAGAUGUAUGACAACUAGAAGAAGAAAUGACAACAGAUAUUAGUGCAAUGAACAACUCAAGAAGGUGUUGAAAGCAGCUACAGUUAUUAACCACUUACAGAAUUGACAAUUGAGUUUAUUAUGCAAUAUCUUCUUUUGCUUUUUUUUAAUUGAUGGCAAUUUUUUGCUACGCAAAAUUUGUUCUUUCGUAUAUAAUACCCAUGUCGUGUUGGUCACAUGACCAGUUAUUUUCAUACAUAUAUAUGUACAGUAGAGUGUAUGCAAGUUAGUGAGUUCAUUGACUCGUGCAAACUCUGCAGUUCAAGUGGUGAAUGAUUCAAGUUGGAAUAACCUGGUGAUUGCAAGUGAGGACCCAGUUCUGGUAGAAUUUUGGGCACCGUGGUGUGGACCAUGCAGGAUGAUUGCCCCAGUGAUCGACGAACUGGCGAAAGAGUAUGCUGGGAAGAUAGCAUGUUUCAAGCUCAAUACUGAUGACAGCC
Molecule: long non-coding RNA, 856 nt
Filed under: Prunus persica (peach)
Lineage: Eukaryota; Viridiplantae; Streptophyta; Magnoliopsida; Rosales; Rosaceae
Description: long non-coding RNA (PPER_LNC007618)
Source: RNAcentral